This 442-nucleotide ribosomal RNA is filed under the name uncultured bacterium. RNAcentral describes it as "bacterial SSU rRNA". It matches the Rfam family "Bacterial small subunit ribosomal RNA", at positions 354 to 796 of the family's 1533-position model. The record is from RNAcentral.
GUGAGGAAUCUUGGACAAUGCACGAAAGUGUGAUCCAGCGACACCGCGUGGGUGAUGAAGGCCUUCGGGUUGUAAAACCCUGUCAAGCGGGAAGAAGUCCCGAUUUCAUCGGGAUUGACGGUACCGCUGAAGGAAGCCCCGGCUAAUCCCGUGCCAGCAGCCGCGGUAAGACGGGAGGGGCGAGCGUUACCCGGAUUUACUGGGUGUAAAGGGUCCGUAGGCGGUCAGGCAUGUCAAAUCUGAAAAACCCCGGCUCAACCGGGGAAUUGGGUUUGAAACUGUCAGACUUGAGUCUGGAGGAGGAAAGCGGAACUGCCGGUGUAGCGGUGAAAUGCGUAGAUAUCGGCAGGAACACCAGUGGCGUAGGCGGCUUUCUAUUCUGGUACUGACGCUGAGGGACGAAAGCGUGGGGAGCGAUCGGGAUUAGAAACCCUGGUAGUCC